Molecule: ribosomal RNA, 1244 nt
Filed under: metagenome
Description: bacterial LSU rRNA
Rfam family: Bacterial large subunit ribosomal RNA
Source: RNAcentral
UGAAUACGAGACGCUAAGGCGUCGAAGUAGUGUAUGUCAUACUUCCAAGAAAAGCUUGCACUGUCAUAGAUAAAAAACGCCUGUACCAUAACCGACACAGGUGGGUAGGUAGAGUAUACUAAGGGGCGCGAGAUAACUCUCUCUAAGGAACUCGGCAAAAUAACUCCGUAACUUCGGGAGAAGGAGUGCCUUAUUCGUAAGGUUGCAAUAACAAGAUCCAAGCAACUGUUUAUCAAAAACACAGGUCUCCGCUAAGUCGUAAGACGAUGUAUGGGGGCUGACGCCUGCCCAGUGCCAGAAGGUUAAAGAAGUUGGUUAGCAAUUGCGAAGCUGAUAACUGAAGCCCUGGUGAACGGCGGCCGUAACUAUAACGGUCCUAAGGUAGCGAAAUUCCUUGUCGGGUAAGUUCCGACCCGCACGAAAGGCGUAAUGAUUUGGAUACUGUCUCGGAGAGGGGCUCGGUGAAAUAGACUUGUCUGUGAAGAUGCGGACUACCUGCACCAGGACAGAAAGACCCUAUGAAGCUUUACUGUAACUUGAAAUUGAAAUUGGACUUUAUUCGCGCAGUAUAGGUGGGAGGCGUUGAUUAUAAUCUUGUGGGAUUAUUGGAGCCAUCAGUGAGAUACCACUCUUGUAAUGUCAGAUUUCUAACUUUGAAUCAUUAUCUGGUCAAAGAACAGUUUCAGGCGGGCAGUUUGACUGGGGCGGUCGCCUCCUAAACGGUAACGGAGGCGUACAAAGGUUUCCUCUGAACGGUUAGAAAUCGUAUCUAGAGUGUAAAGGCAUAAGGAAGCUUGACUGUGAGACCUACAAGUCGAGCAGGGACGAAAGUCGGUCUUAGUGAUCUGACGGUACUGAGUGGAAAGGCCGUCACUCAACGGAUAAAAGUUACUCUAGGAUAACAGGCUGAUCUCCCCCAAGAGUUCACAUCGACGGGGAGGUUUGGCACCUUGAUGUCGGCUCAUCGCAUCCUGGGGCGGUAGUACGUCCCAAGGGUUGGGCUGUUCGCCCAUGAAAGCGGUACGCGAGCUGGGUUCAGAACGUCGUGAGACAGUUCGGUCCAUAUCCGGUGUAGGCGUUAGAAUAUUGAGAGGAGCCUUCUUUAGUACGAGAGGACCGAGAAGGACAUACCUCUGGUGUACCAGUUAUCGUGCCAACGGUAAACGCUGGGUAGCUAUGUAUGGAGUGGAUAACCGCUGAAAGCAUCUAAGUGGGAAGCCCACCUCAAGAUAAGUAUUCUCACC